AUUUUUAGAGAUGGGGUCUCACUGUGUUGCCCAGGCUGGUCUCAAACUCCUGGCAUCAAGCGAUCCUCCCAUCUUAGCCUCCCAAAGUGCUGGGAUUACAGGCAUGAGCCACUGGACCUGACCCUCUCUCAUGUGCUUCUAAAAACAAGCUCAGGAAGAGAAGUGGUUUCACCACAUUGCCCAGGCUGGUCUCAAAUUCCUGAGUUCAAGUGAUCUGCACACCUCAGCCCUGCAAAGUGCUGGGAAUACAGGCGUAAGCCACUGUGCCCAACUGAAACAUGUUUAAUAUAAUUAUUUGAUAAACUUGGUUGUAAUGUUAUUUUUAUUGUAUUCACUGUGUUAUUUUCACUGUGUUCACUGUGUUAUUUUCAAUAAAUUCCUCUUCUUAAUGCUUUCAACAUA
RNAcentral lists this long non-coding RNA (402 nucleotides) under Homo sapiens (human). RNAcentral's name for it is "HSALNT0022309". The record is from RNAcentral. Lineage: Eukaryota; Metazoa; Chordata; Mammalia; Primates; Hominidae.